RNAcentral lists this unclassified non-coding RNA (303 nucleotides) under uncultured Pleosporales. Its description in RNAcentral is "sequence contains ITS1". The stretch from base 1 to 105 matches the Rfam family "5.8S ribosomal RNA", at positions 50 to 154 of the family's 154-position model. The record is from RNAcentral. Lineage: Eukaryota; Fungi; Ascomycota; Dothideomycetes; Pleosporales.
GAAAUGCGAUAAGUAGUGUGAAUUGCAGAAUUCAGUGAAUCAUCGAAUCUUUGAACGCACAUUGCGCCCUUUGGUAUUCCUUAGGGCAUGCCUGUUCGAGCGUCAUCUAACCCCCUCAAGCACUGCUUGGUGUUGGGCGCCUUGUCCCGCCUCUGGCGUGGACUCGCCUCAAAAGCAUUGGCGGCCUGUGUAUUGGCUUCGAGCGCAGCAGACUCGCGCCUCGCAACCCUCUGGCACGGGCGUCCAUCAAGAUGCACCCCAAAGUUUGACCUCGGAUCAGGUAGGGAUACCCGCUGAACUUAA